This 253-nucleotide ribosomal RNA is filed under the name uncultured bacterium. RNAcentral describes it as "partial 16S ribosomal RNA". It matches the Rfam family "Bacterial small subunit ribosomal RNA", at positions 524 to 776 of the family's 1533-position model. The record is from RNAcentral.
UACGUAGGGGGCAAGCGUUGUCCGGAUUUAUUGGGCGUAAAGAGCGUGUAGGCGGCCAAGUAAGUCUGCUGUGAAAACUCGAGGCUUAACCUCGAGCUGUCGGUGGAAACUGUCUGGCUAGAGUCCGGAAGAGGAGAAUGGAAUUCCUGGUGUAGCGGUGAAAUGCGCAGAUAUCAGGAAGAACACCCGUGGCGAAGGCGGUUCUCUGGGACGGUACUGACGCUGAGACGCGAAAGCGUGGGGAGCGAACAGG